RNAcentral lists this ribosomal RNA (809 nucleotides) under Cytobacillus firmus. RNAcentral's name for it is "bacterial SSU rRNA". It matches the Rfam family "Bacterial small subunit ribosomal RNA", at positions 96 to 890 of the family's 1533-position model. The record is from RNAcentral. Lineage: Bacteria; Bacillati; Bacillota; Bacilli; Caryophanales; Bacillaceae.
CGGCGGACGGGUGAGUAACACGUGGGCAACCUGCCUGUAAGACUGGGAUAACUCCGGGAAACCGGGGCUAAUACCGGAUAAUGCUUUUCCUCGCAUGAGGAAAAGCUGAAAGAUGGCAUCUGCUAUCACUUACAGAUGGGCCCGCGGCGCAUUAGCUAGUUGGUGAGGUAACGGCUCACCAAGGCGACGAUGCGUAGCCGACCUGAGAGGGUGAUCGGCCACACUGGGACUGAGACACGGCCCAGACUCCUACGGGAGGCAGCAGUAGGGAAUCUUCCGCAAUGGACGAAAGUCUGACGGAGCAACGCCGCGUGAGUGAUGAAGGUUUUCGGAUCGUAAAACUCUGUUGUCAGGGAAGAACAAGUACCGGAGUAACUGCCGGUACCUUGACGGUACCUGACCAGAAAGCCACGGCUAACUACGUGCCAGCAGCCGCGGUAAUACGUAGGUGGCAAGCGUUGUCCGGAAUUAUUGGGCGUAAAGCGCGCGCAGGCGGUUCCUUAAGUCUGAUGUGAAAGCCCCCGGCUCAACCGGGGAGGGUCAUUGGAAACUGGGGAACUUGAGUGCAGAAGAGAAGAGUGGAAUUCCACGUGUAGCGGUGAAAUGCGUAGAGAUGUGGAGGAACACCAGUGGCGAAGGCGACUCUUUGGUCUGUAACUGACGCUGAGGCGCGAAAGCGUGGGGAGCAAACAGGAUUAGAUACCCUGGUAGUCCACGCCGUAAACGAUGAGUGCUAAGUGUUAGAGGGUUUCCGCCCUUUAGUGCUGCAGCAAACGCAUUAAGCACUCCGCCUGGGGAGUACGGCCGCA